ACCUCGAAUGUACUCCCUUCUAUCGUACACUCAAAAAAAUCCACACGUCAAGGCUUCGUGAAAAAUCACGUAGACCCCUUAGAAAUGAAUUUUUCUAGAAGUUACCUGACAUAUGUACCAAUCACCGGAUCAUCGAUAGAAAUGGCAUAAACUGUCUGUCGUAUUUACUGUCGUGCCCUAUCAAGCUUACGUGAAAUUCAUGUACCAAGGCAUGUUCAUUUUGACAGCUGUAUGUUGUGUUCAUUCCCUAUCAUACCUGUGAAACAAGAUGGUGCCUAUAGAAGAAAAACUUUCAACAACAGCUAGACAAUUUCAAUAUUGGGACUCAUUUUGGUAAUAUUUUGAGAUAAAAGGAACGAAAGUGAACUGAACUACUGCAUAAUUGUGUUUUAUCUUUUGGAUCGGAAAGUUUAUGAUCCAUGAAACGGAUCAAAUCCGCUCAUCAAUGGAAUAAACGGAACCAAAACACUAUUCUUUUCCUCGAAGACAAGAUGAAAGAAUCUGGAAUCAUAAAUCAUAAUGGCAAAGGUGCAGCUCUGGACUACCAAAACGCUCAUGGCCAAACAAAACCAACUUGCGCUCCUCAAAACAACUCGCGAAACAACAAUUAAAAGAAUCAACUAUAUAUGUAAUAAAAAACGCUUCAACGAUUAUUAAUUGAA
This is a long non-coding RNA of Aedes aegypti (yellow fever mosquito), 662 nucleotides long. RefSeq lists it as uncharacterized. The transcript has 2 exons. The record is from RefSeq and is a predicted model, not a curated record. NCBI's taxonomy places the organism in Eukaryota, Metazoa, Arthropoda, Insecta, Diptera, Culicidae.